GAUGAACGCUAGCUACAGGCUUAACACAUGCAAGUCGAGGGGCAGCAUGGUCUUAGCUUGCUAAGGCCGAUGGCGACCGGCGCACGGGUGAGUAACACGUAUCCAACCUGCCGUCUACUCUUGGACAGCCUUCUGAAAGGAAGAUUAAUACAAGAUGGCAUAGUUUUCCCGCAUGGGAUAAUUAUUAAAGAAUUUCGGUUGUCGAUGGGGAUGCGUUCCAUUAGGCAGUUGGCGGGGUAACGGCCCACCAAACCUACGAUGGAUAGGGGGUUCUGAGAGGAAGGUCCCCCCACAUUGGAACUGAGACACGGUCCAAACUCCUACGGGAGGCAGCAGUGAGGAAUAUUGGUCAAUGGACGAGAGUCUGAACCAGCCAAGUAGCGUGAAGGAUGACUGCCCUAUGGGUUGUAAACUUCUUUUAUACGGGAAUAAAGUUAGCCACGUGUGGUUUUUGUAUGUACCGUAUGAAUAAGGAUUCGGCUAACUCCGUG
This 491-nucleotide ribosomal RNA is filed under the name uncultured bacterium. Its description in RNAcentral is "bacterial SSU rRNA". It matches the Rfam family "Bacterial small subunit ribosomal RNA", at positions 28 to 507 of the family's 1533-position model. The record is from RNAcentral.